UGGGGAAUUUUGGACAAUGGGCGAAAGCCUGAUCCAGCAAUGCCGCGUGUGUGAAGAAGGCCUUCGGGUUGUAAAGCACUUUUGUCCGGAAAGAAAUCCUUGUCUCUAAUACAGUCGGGGGAUGACGGUACCGGAAGAAUAAGCACCGGCUAACUACGUGCCAGCAGCCGCGGUAAUACGUAGGGUGCAAGCGUUAAUCGGAAUUACUGGGCGUAAAGCGUGCGCAGGCGGUUUGCUAAGACCGAUGUGAAAUCCCCGGGCUCAACCUGGGAACUGCAUUGGUGACUGGCAGGCUAGAGUAUGGCAGAGGGGGGUAGAAUUCCACGUGUAGCAGUGAAAUGCGUAGAGAUGUGGAGGAAUACCGAUGGCG
RNAcentral lists this ribosomal RNA (370 nucleotides) under uncultured bacterium. RNAcentral's name for it is "partial 16S ribosomal RNA". It matches the Rfam family "Bacterial small subunit ribosomal RNA", at positions 355 to 717 of the family's 1533-position model. The record is from RNAcentral.